UACGUAGGGUGCUAGCGUUGUUCGGAAUCAUUGGGCGUAAAGCGCGUGUAGGUGGUUAAUAAAGUUGGGUGUGAAAUCCCUCGGCUCAACCGAGGAAGUGCACUCAAAACUAAUUAGCUUGAGAGUGGUAGAGGAAGGUGGAAUUCCUAGUGUAGAGGUGAAAUUCGUAGAUAUUAGGAGGAAUACCGGAGGCGAAGGCGGCCUUCUGGACCAUUUCUGACACUGAGACGCGAAAGCGUGGGUAGCAAACAGG
Molecule: ribosomal RNA, 253 nt
Filed under: uncultured bacterium
Lineage: Bacteria
Description: partial 16S ribosomal RNA
Rfam family: Bacterial small subunit ribosomal RNA
Source: RNAcentral